Molecule: long non-coding RNA, 360 nt
Filed under: Mus musculus (house mouse)
Lineage: Eukaryota; Metazoa; Chordata; Mammalia; Rodentia; Muridae
Description: predicted gene, 19696
Source: RNAcentral
GGAAAUGUGGCCUUGUUGUGCAGGGGCCUUUUGAGAAGGUGAAUCAGCGUGUGUUAGCUCAGGGCAGAGGGCCUGGCGGUGAGACGUGAGAACAGCCAAUGUCAUGGCGGUGGGGGAGUGGACGUGAGCCAUCUGGGGCCCAGCAAACAGCAUGUUGAAAAAAACGAGGAACUCAAAGGCAGAUGAGCCUACCACGCUGGGAACAGUUGGGAGUACAUUGCUCAAGCCCCGGCCAGUUUUAUGUCACUGCUGGUGUGAAGCAGUGAACAGUGACCCAGCAUGCAUCCAGGUGGCGGGACAGAGUCAGACUCUCCAGGGCAGAGAGACUCUAAAACUGACGGCCAGGUCUUGCUCAGACUA